CUCCUUCGGGAGGUGGACAGCGGCGGAAGGGAGAGUAAUGCGUGGUUACGUGCCCUGAGGACCGGGAUAGUGUGGGGAAACUUGCAGUAAUACCGGAUAAUAUCUCAGGAUCAAAUGGUGUGAUUCCGCCUUGGGAUCGGACCACGUGCUAUUAGCUUGUUGGCGGGGUAAUGGCCCACCAAGGCUACGAUGGCUACCGGGUGUGAGAGCAUGGCCCGGCUCACUGGGACUGAGACACUGCCCAGACACCUACGGGUGGCUGCAGUCGAGAAUCUUCGGCAAUGGACGAAAGUCUGACCGAGCGACGCCGCGUGCGGGAUGAAGGCCUUCGGGUUGUAAACCGCUGUCAGUUGGGAGGAAAUGUUAUGGGGUACUCCCCAUAGCUUGACCGAUCUUCAGAGGAAGGACGGGCUAAGUUCGUGCCAGCAGCCGCGGUAAGACGAACCGUCCAAACGUUAUUCGGUAUCACUGGGCUUAAAGCGUGCGUAGGCGGCCUGGUAGGUGAGAUGUGAAAGCCCACGGCUCAACCGUGGAAUUGCGUUUCAAACCACCAGGCUUGAGGAUGGCAGGGGUGAUGGGAACUGAUGGUGGAGCGGUGAAAUGCGUUGAUAUCAUCAGGAACACCGGUGGCGAAGGCGCAUCACUGGGCCAUUUCUGACGCUGAGGCACGAAAGCUAGGGUAGCGAACGGG
This 691-nucleotide ribosomal RNA is filed under the name uncultured Planctomycetota bacterium. RNAcentral's name for it is "bacterial SSU rRNA". It matches the Rfam family "Bacterial small subunit ribosomal RNA", at positions 75 to 776 of the family's 1533-position model. The record is from RNAcentral. Lineage: Bacteria; Pseudomonadati; Planctomycetota.